RNAcentral lists this long non-coding RNA (369 nucleotides) under Fukomys damarensis (Damara mole-rat). Its description in RNAcentral is "lncRNA (ENSFDAG00000026413.1)". Lineage: Eukaryota; Metazoa; Chordata; Mammalia; Rodentia; Bathyergidae. The record is from RNAcentral.
GUCUGCGAUCACCCGGCGGCAUGCGCGCGAGCUCCCGGCCUGCGCGGGAGCUCCCGGCCUGCGCGACAACAGACCCAGGAAGGACCCAAGGACCCCAGAGGGGGUGUUUCAAGGGCGCCCGCGCGGCUACCUUCCUUCCUGGGUCUGUUGUCGCGCAGGCCGGGAGCUCACGCGCACGCCGCCGGGUGAUCGCAGACAGGCAGGUAGGCAGGCAGCUGAAAAAAACCCCCUCUGGGGUCCUUGGGUCCUUCCUGGGUCUGUUGUCGCGCAGGCCGGGAGCUCACGCGCACGCCGCCGGGUGAUCGCAGACAGGCAGGUAGGCAGGCACCUGAAAAAAACCCCCUGGCCCAUGAACUUAUAACUGUUUCC